UUAAGCGACUAAGCGUACACGGUGGAUGCCCUGGCAGUCAGAGGCGAUGAAGGACGUGCUAAUCUGCGAUAAGCGUCGGUAAGGUGAUAUGAACCGUUAUAACCGGCGAUUUCCGAAUGGGGAAACCCAGUGUGUUUCGACACACUAUCAUUAACUGAAUCCAUAGGUUAAUGAGGCGAACCGGGGGAACUGAAACAUCUAAGUACCCCGAGGAAAAGAAAUCAACCGAGAUUCCCCCAGUAGCGGCGAGCGAACGGGGAGCAGCCCAGAGCCUGAAUCAGUGUGUGUGUUAGUGGAAGCGUCUGGAAAGGCGCGCGAUACAGGGUGACAGCCCCGUACACAAAAAUGCACAUGCUGUGAGCUCGAUGAGUAGGGCGGGACACGUGGUAUCCUGUCUGAAUAUGGGGGGACCAUCCUCCAAGGCUAAAUACUCCUGACUGACCGAUAGUGAACCAGUACCGUGAGGGAAAGGCGAAAAGAACCCCGGCGAGGGGAGUGAAAAGAACCUGAAACCGUGUACGUACAAGCAGUGGGAGCACGCUUAGGCGUGUGACUGCGUACCUUUUGUAUAAUGGGUCAGCGACUUAUAUUCUGUAGCAAGGUUAACCGAAUAGGGGAGCCGAAGGGAAACCGAGUCUUAACUGGGCGUUAAGUUGCAGGGUAUAGACCCGAAACCCGGUGAUCUAGCCAUGGGCAGGUUGAAGGUUGGGUAACACUAACUGGAGGACCGAACCGACUAAUGUUGAAAAAGUAGCGGAUGACUUGUGGCUGGGGGUGAAAGGCCAAUCAAACCGGGAGAUAGCUGGUUCUCCCCGAAAGCUAAUUAGGUAGCGCCUCGUGAAUUCAUCUCCGGGGGUAGAGCACUGUUUCGGCAAGGGGGUCAUCCCGACUUACCAACCCGAUGCAAACUGCGAAUACCGGAGAAUGUUAUCACGGGAGACACACGGCGGGUGCUAACGUCCGUCGUGAAGAGGGAAACAACCCAGACCGCCAGCUAAGGUCCCAAAGUCAUGGUUAAGUGGGAAACGAUGUGGGAAGGCCCAGACAGCCAGGAUGUUGGCUUAGAAGCAGCCAUCAUUUAAAGAAAGCGUAAUAGCUCACUGGUCGAGUCGGCCUGCGCGGAAGAUGUAACGGGGCUAAACCAUGCACCGAAGCUGCGGCAGCGACGCUGAUGCGUUGUUGGGUAGGGGAGCGUUCUGUAAGCCUGCGAAGGUGUGCUGUGAGGCAUGCUGGAGGUAUCAGAAGUGCGAAUGCUGACAUAAGUAACGAUAAAGCGGGUGAAAAGCCCGCUCGCCGGAAGACCAAGGGUUCCUGUCCAACGUUAAUCGGGGCAGGGUGAGUCGACCCCUAAGGCGAGGCCGAAAGGCGUAGUCGAUGGGAAACAGGUUAAUAUUCCUGUACUUGGUGUUACUGCGAAGGGGGGACGGAGAAGGCUAUGUUGGCCGGGCGACGGUUGUCCCGGUUUAAGCGUGUAGGCUGGUUUUCCAGGCAAAUCCGGAAAAUCAAGGCUGAGGCGUGAUGACGAGGCACUACGGUGCUGAAGCAACAAAUGCCCUGCUUCCAGGAAAAGCCUCUAAGCAUCAGGUAACAUCAAAUCGUACCCCAAACCGACACAGGUGGUCAGGUAGAGAAUACCAAGGCGCUUGAGAGAACUCGGGUGAAGGAACUAGGCAAAAUGGUGCCGUAACUUCGGGAGAAGGCACGCUGAUAUGUAGGUGAAGUCCCUCGCGGAUGGAGCUGAAAUCAGUCGAAGAUACCAGCUGGCUGCAACUGUUUAUUAAAAACACAGCACUGUGCAAACACGAAAGUGGACGUAUACGGUGUGACGCCUGCCCGGUGCCGGAAGGUUAAUUGAUGGGGUCAGCGCAAGCGAAGCUCUUGAUCGAAGCCCCGGUAAACGGCGGCCGUAACUAUAACGGUCCUAAGGUAGCGAAAUUCCUUGUCGGGUAAGUUCCGACCUGCACGAAUGGCGUAAUGAUGGCCAGGCUGUCUCCACCCGAGACUCAGUGAAAUUGAACUCGCUGUGAAGAUGCAGUGUACCCGCGGCAAGACGGAAAGACCCCGUGAACCUUUACUAUAGCUUGACACUGAACAUUGAGCCUUGAUGUGUAGGAUAGGUGGGAGGCUUUGAAGUGUGGACGCCAGUCUGCAUGGAGCCGACCUUGAAAUACCACCCUUUAAUGUUUGAUGUUCUAACGUUGACCCGUAAUCCGGGUUGCGGACAGUGUCUGGUGGGUAGUUUGACUGGGGCGGUCUCCUCCUAAAGAGUAACGGAGGAGCACGAAGGUUGGCUAAUCCUGGUCGGACAUCAGGAGGUUAGUGCAAUGGCAUAAGCCAGCUUGACUGCGAGCGUGACGGCGCGAGCAGGUGCGAAAGCAGGUCAUAGUGAUCCGGUGGUUCUGAAUGGAAGGGCCAUCGCUCAACGGAUAAAAGGUACUCCGGGGAUAACAGGCUGAUACCGCCCAAGAGUUCAUAUCGACGGCGGUGUUUGGCACCUCGAUGUCGGCUCAUCACAUCCUGGGGCUGAAGUAGGUCCCAAGGGUAUGGCUGUUCGCCAUUUAAAGUGGUACGCGAGCUGGGUUUAGAACGUCGUGAGACAGUUCGGUCCCUAUCUGCCGUGGGCGCUGGAGAACUGAGGGGGGCUGCUCCUAGUACGAGAGGACCGGAGUGGACGCAUCACUGGUGUUCGGGUUGUCAUGCCAAUGGCACUGCCCGGUAGCUAAAUGCGGAAGAGAUAAGUGCUGAAAGCAUCUAAGCACGAAACUUGCCCCGAGAUGAGUUCUCCCUGACUCCUUGAGAGUCCUGAAGGAACGUUGAAGACGACGACGUUGAUAGGCCGGGUGUGUAAGCGCAGCGAUGCGUUGAGCUAACCGGUACUAAUGAACCGUGAGGCUUAACCUU
This 2901-nucleotide ribosomal RNA is filed under the name Escherichia coli DEC6B. RNAcentral describes it as "bacterial LSU rRNA". It matches the Rfam family "Bacterial large subunit ribosomal RNA". The record is from RNAcentral. Lineage: Bacteria; Pseudomonadati; Pseudomonadota; Gammaproteobacteria; Enterobacterales; Enterobacteriaceae.